Molecule: ribosomal RNA, 206 nt
Filed under: uncultured bacterium
Lineage: Bacteria
Description: partial 16S ribosomal RNA
Rfam family: Bacterial small subunit ribosomal RNA
Source: RNAcentral
CACGUAGGCGGCUUUCUAAGUCGGGGGUGAAAUCCUGGAGCUCAACUCCAGAACUGCCUUCGAUACUGGAAAGCUCGAGUCCGGGAGAGGUGAGUGGAACUGCGAGUGUAGAGGUGAAAUUCGUAGAUAUUCGCAAGAACACCAGUGGCGAAGGCGGCUCACUGGCCCGGUACUGACGCUGAGGUGCGAAAGCGUGGGAGCAAACA